UACGUAGGGUGCAAGCAUUAAUCGGAUUUACUGGGCGUAAAGGGCGUGUAGGCGGAUAUGAAAGUCGAAUGUGAAAACCCGAAACUCAACUUCGGAAACGCAUUCGAAACUUCAUACCUAGAGGAUAGAUGGAGAAAACGGAAUUCCACAUGUAGCGGUGAAAUGCGUAGAUAUGUGGAAGAACACCUGUGGCGAAGGCGGUUUUCUAAUUUAUUCCUGACGCUGAGGCGCGAGAGCUAGGGGAGCAAACAGG
This 253-nucleotide ribosomal RNA is filed under the name uncultured bacterium. RNAcentral's name for it is "partial 16S ribosomal RNA". It matches the Rfam family "Bacterial small subunit ribosomal RNA", at positions 524 to 776 of the family's 1533-position model. The record is from RNAcentral.